Molecule: ribosomal RNA, 112 nt
Filed under: Paramormyrops kingsleyae
Lineage: Eukaryota; Metazoa; Chordata; Actinopteri; Osteoglossiformes; Mormyridae
Source: RNAcentral
GUCAGCUGCUGAACCCCCAGCUGUUCAGACCAGGUAAUCCAUAUGAAGUUCAGUAGUUUUGGUGCACUACUUGGAUGGGAGACCUACUGGGAAAGUUGGGUUGCUGCUGACG